ACUGCUCAGUAACACGUGGACAAUCUAACCUACGGAGGGGGAUAACCCCGGGAAACUGGGGAUAAUACCCCAUAGACUAUGGAUGCUGGAAUGCUUUGUAGUCGAAAGGUCCGCCGCCGUAGGAUGGGUCUGCGGCCGAUUAGGUUGUUGUUGGGGUAACGGCCCAACAAGCCUGUAAUCGGUACGGGUUGUGGGAGCAAGAGCCCGGAGAUGGAUUCUGAGACACGAAUCCAGGCCCUACGGGGCGCAGCAGGCGCGAAAACUUUACAAUGCGGGAAACCGUGAUAGGGGAACUCUGAGUGCCCGUUAAAUCGGGCUGUCCAUCAGUUUAAAUAACUGGUGAAGAAAGGGCCGGGCAAGACCGGUGCCAGCCGCCGCGGUAAUACCGGCGGCUCGAGUGGUGGCCACUAUUACUGGGCUUAAAGCGUUCGUAGCUGGUUUGUUAAGUCUCUGGGGAAAUCUUCCGGCUUAACCGGAAGGCGUCUCAGGGAUACUGGCAGACUAGGGACCGGGAGAGGUGAGGGGUACUCCAGGGGUAGGAGUGAAAUCCUGUAAUCCUUGGGGGACCACCUGUGGCGAAGGCGCCUCACCAGAACGGCUCCGACAGUGAGGGACGAAAGCUGGGGGAGCAAACCGGAUUAGAUACCCGGGUAGUCCCAGCUGUAAACGAUGCGCGUUAGGUGUAUCGAUGACCACGAGUCAUCGAGGUGCCGAAGAGAAAUCGUGAAACGUGCCGCCUGGGAAGUACGGUCGCAAGGCUGAAACUUAAAGGAAUUGGCGGGGGAGCAC
RNAcentral lists this ribosomal RNA (789 nucleotides) under uncultured archaeon. RNAcentral describes it as "bacterial SSU rRNA". It matches the Rfam family "Archaeal small subunit ribosomal RNA", at positions 85 to 879 of the family's 1478-position model. The record is from RNAcentral.